GGGCCCCAUCUUAUCAGCGCAGGUUCCGAGAUACGUUUUGUAUUUUGGUGAGAGGUUUUCUAGCAUAUAAAUAUUGUACUCCUGCGAAGCCGGCGAUAACGCAUCCAAUGUAUCAAACUCAGCGGGAUUGACUAGUGGUUUAUCGUCAACAUCUUCUUGGCCCAAAAAUGGAUACGCACAUGACACUAAAGUGUUGAUUAUGAAAAAUGCCAUAAAAAUUGUCUUAGUGUCCAUUUUGUAUGAUUUAUUUUUUACUUAUUCUUUGAUUUUUUU
RNAcentral lists this long non-coding RNA (273 nucleotides) under Brassica napus (rape). RNAcentral's name for it is "long non-coding RNA (BNAP_LNC000906)". Lineage: Eukaryota; Viridiplantae; Streptophyta; Magnoliopsida; Brassicales; Brassicaceae. The record is from RNAcentral.